Molecule: non-coding RNA, 2109 nt
Organism: Gasterosteus aculeatus aculeatus (three-spined stickleback)
Lineage: Eukaryota; Metazoa; Chordata; Actinopteri; Perciformes; Gasterosteidae
Source: RefSeq, a predicted model, not a curated record
GGACUGUUUGACUCUGCAAUUCCAUGAAAAAGCUCUUUACAUGCCUUUAUCAGACUCUUAUACUGUAAAUGGGUGUACGUUGCUAAACAUUUUCAGUUCUGCAAUGUGCUUCAUAAAGUGUAAAGUAUAAUAUACACCAAAACAGUCAUUAAAAAAAAAGGUAAUCAUCAAUUUUUAAAUUUGGACUUGGAAUGGGUUUUGUGAGGGACAAAUGCUCUUUGUCUAUUUAAUGAUUAUACAGUGUUGGAUGUGUGUAUUUAACAUGAACAGUUAUUGGCUGUGAGGCAAGAAACAGUGCGGACUUCAAAAGCACAUUCAGUUUGACCUUAUCUAUUCCAGUCAUGGAGAGAUUUGGCCUGCCACCUGAUGCAAAUGUUAUAUACAAGGAUGCAACAGGGACAGAAGUUGAUGCAGAAAUAUUCAGCAACCUCGUUGGACAAGGCAAUGUGGUCCUGACAGUUUUCUCAGAUCAGGAUGAGAUAUCAAGGCAGGUAUAAUAAAGCACUCUACCUUAGUAUAUAAUUUAAUAAUUUAAAUGUUCUCUAUUGCUUUAGAAUUCUCUGAUUUCUCCUUGUCUUCUGAGACGUCUGACUCAAGCUUCAGCUCAAGUGCAUCAACUAUAAUCCUAGAUGUUCCUAACAAGAGACAAAGAAUUGAGGCUACACGUGAUGCUGUGUCUGCUAAACAGUCUCAUGUUUUUGUUAUUUAUUAGUAAUAGAGGCAAGUCCAGAGGUGAACAGAAACCCUAACAGAUGCUGCAAGAAGACAAAUGGUUGAUAUCCCGGUGGCUCACAUGAUUGACAAUCAUGGGCACUGCCCCACUAAAACAAUCAGAGAAGAUUAUGCACGUGGGAUAGUGAUGCUGUUCCCUUCCCUUAAGGAUCCAUACUCAAAGAACACUUCUAUGAUGCUGCAAGCAGCACAGGAUACAUUUCUUGGCAUCUGAAAACAGUCCAGAGGAAGAUUUAUCAAGGAUCUGCACAACCACCAAAUAGCCCAAUUGACUUUUCUCCAGGAGGCCCAAAUUGCCAAAGGACUGUUAAUGUUGAAGGGCAGCUUGAUGGUGAUGCUUGCCAAGAGGCCAUGUCUUUGCUUAACCAUACAGCAGACAAUUCCCUGAUUUUCCAGAAGAUGAGAGAGACCUUUCAGCAUUGUCAGAAGCUUGUUAAUGACCCAGGCAGAAGUGUUGAUACUCUCCAGCUUCCCAAGAUUCCUGGAUACAAAAGCAUUGGUGGACCAAGACUUCACUCUCCUAUUUGACAAAGACACAUCCUCCAGGCUUCUUCAGAAAUGGGAUUUGUUCUUCAAGCCAAAUGUCAUUAAAGAGGCUAAGCGGCUCACCUCAACACCAGAGUCGCUUGGUGCAGUCAGCAGAAAGUCCACCAGGACGUGAUCUUGAUGAGGCAACAACCUACGACCAAGAAAUGGCCUCCCUGUUGUUGCUGUUACAUCUCCUUCCACCACCUCCAGGGGGACUGAAGUCUCCAAAAAUUAGUGCAUGUGAUGCAGUUGAAAGACUUGUUGUAUUUCAUAAGUCAUGCUGCAGUUUGGAGGAGCAUCUCCGCAACCAGCAGGGUCGGCAGCCGUACCUCCUCGCUGUUGGGCGUCAGAAGAGCAAGAUUGACAGCUUCUACAUCACCAUGGAUAAGCGUCUCAUCCCAUACAAGGCACACCGCUCCCUCGGGGCAUGUGAUGAACUUUUCAAAGCACAUUUUGUGUUUAAUUUGUCUUACGAUGUGGCACUUGUGAAUUUUUAUACAUUCCUGCAGACAACAGUGUAUAACAUUGAUGUGGGGGAAAUUAAGGAGUCACCCAGAGUUAAAGAGACUGCUUAACCAGCCAGUAGCAUUCUCACCCUGUGAGUAAGAAGCUAUAACAAUGCUGACCUGUUUCAUGUGUUGACAAACAAGCUAUUUACAGGCAUUCAGAGUAUUACGAAGUGCGGAAAGAUGUUUACUAAAAAUGUCUGAGCUUAAAUUUCAUAAACCGUUUCAUAUUCAAAGCUCAUACAAUGUUUCGGAUGAAAGUUUGUACAUUAUACCUUCAUUCACAAUGUUUUAAUUCAACUGACUGCAAGGGAGAAAAGGAAUAAAUGUUUUUGAAAAUGUU